GGGCGAGUGGCGAAAUUGGUAUACGCGCCAGAUUUAGGUUCUGGUACUGCGAGGUGUGUGGGUUCGAGUCCCACCUUGCCCACCA
RNAcentral lists this transfer RNA (85 nucleotides) under Armatimonadota bacterium. RNAcentral describes it as "Armatimonadetes bacterium (activated sludge metagenome) tRNA-Leu". It matches the Rfam family "tRNA". From Rfam's summary of the family: Transfer RNA (tRNA) molecules are approximately 80 nucleotides in length. Their secondary structure includes four short double-helical elements and three loops (D, anti-codon, and T loops). Further hydrogen bonds mediate the characteristic L-shaped molecular structure. tRNAs have two regions of fundamental functional importance: the anti-codon, which is responsible for specific mRNA codon recognition, and the 3' end, to which the tRNAs corresponding amino acid is attached (by aminoacyl-tRNA synthetases). tRNAs cope with the degeneracy of the genetic code in two manners: having more than one tRNA (with a specific anti-codon) for a particular amino acid; and 'wobble' base-pairing, i.e. permitting non-standard base-pairing at the 3rd anti-codon position. Lineage: Bacteria; Bacillati; Armatimonadota. The record is from RNAcentral.